This is a long non-coding RNA of Xyrauchen texanus (razorback sucker), 1148 nucleotides long. RefSeq lists it as uncharacterized. The transcript is spliced from 3 exons. The record is from RefSeq and is a predicted model, not a curated record. Lineage: Eukaryota; Metazoa; Chordata; Actinopteri; Cypriniformes; Catostomidae.
UCCGCUGAACUCGCCGCUCGGUCAGAGAGUUUCAUUGCUGCAGCAUCUCAUGGCGCUCGCUGUCGUGGAGUCUGUGCACAUGCUGCCGGGAUACGAGGUUCUUGAUUGUGGAACAGAAUCUGUGUUUGUGAUGGUUGAGUUUGAUUGAGGUGAAACUGCUCGUACAUCCUGAUGUUUGAUGCUCUGAGAUGAUGAGGUUUGUGUGAGGUUAGGGUAACGAUCUCCAGGAGAGGUCCUCACCAGCUCCAAAAGUCUGUGCGGUUUCCUGCUCGUGUUCAGGUUCACCUCAUCUGUCUCCAGCACCUCGAGCUUCAGUCUCGUCCUGAUGAGGUGAAAAUAUUCCUGUGAGCAUCUUGACCCAUCGGAGAUCUUUCACCUCAUUACAAACACAUCUGCGUGAUGACGUCUGAAGCCGCUUCUCUCACGUGCUUUAUUGAGACCCUCAAGUGUUCUUCAGAAGCCGCUUGGACACAUUUAUCAAUAAAAGGGGUUUAAAUGAAAUGCCUACGUAAGCGCUCUCUGCCUUUAAAAAUCAUUUAAGCAAAUAGCUCACCUCGGAUCCAUAAAUGCCACAUCCACAAUAUCCUGUUAAACAAUUUCAGCAGGAGGGUCUCUAGAGGUCAAAGCGAACCUAUCAUCUAUAAUAUUGGCUGCAUAAUACCAUAUUCCAAUCUCCUGCCCCCAGAGACCCGCUGGAUCCCCUUCAGACUCAUAAACAAACAGAGAGAUGUGGAGUCUCCAGAGGAGCAUCACAGACUCAUCAGGGGAAUGGAUUGACAGAUCACAAACACAAUCACUCGUGUCAACUCACGUUUAUUCAGAUUCAAAGCAAAGCAGUCAUUUCAGUUUCAUUUAAAGUCAUUAAACAUCCUUUGCAUAUGUUCAACUCUUGAUUUGCACCAUAAAUAAUCCAGCUGCAAUGUGAGACACUUCAGUAAAUAUGCUCAGCACUUGUUUGAUAUCUGCAUCAUUGAUGAGCCGGUUGGGAACAUAUUCAACUUUUGUUUUGUUUUUGUCUGCGCGGGUCAAAAAUGUCCACAGAAACAAAUUCCCAAUCAUUGACCAGUCUGAAACACGGAGUUCAGAGUUCAUGUUAAGGAGAAGUGCUUCAUUUUAUGUUCUGCACUUAUAUAGCGCUUUUAUUUACC